RNAcentral lists this microRNA (23 nucleotides) under Schistosoma japonicum. Its description in RNAcentral is "sja-miR-190-5p". Its record names the gene sja-miR-190-5p. RNAcentral also lists the same sequence under 1 other name. Lineage: Eukaryota; Metazoa; Platyhelminthes; Trematoda; Strigeidida; Schistosomatidae. The record is from miRBase by way of RNAcentral.
UGAUAUGUAUGGGUUACUUGGUG